This 589-nucleotide ribosomal RNA is filed under the name uncultured bacterium. Its description in RNAcentral is "bacterial SSU rRNA". It matches the Rfam family "Bacterial small subunit ribosomal RNA", at positions 338 to 916 of the family's 1533-position model. The record is from RNAcentral.
CCUACGGGAGGCAGCAGUGGGGAAUAUUGCGCAAUGGGCGAAAGCCUGACGCAGCAACGCCGCGUGAGUGAUGGAGGCCUUCGGGUCGUAAAGCUCUGUCAAAAGGGAAGAACACCUGGUGGGAACAAUACCCCAUCAGUUUGACGGUACCUUUAAAGGAAGCUCCGGCUAACUCCGUGCCAGCAGCCGCGGUAACACGGGGGGAGCGAACGCUGUUCGGAAUCACUGGGCGUAAAGGGCGUGUAGGCGGUUCGGUAAGUGGGAUGUGAAAGCCCCCGGCUCACCCGGGGAACGGCAUCCCAAACUGCUGGACUUGAGUGCGGGAGAGGAUGGGGGAAUUCCUGGUGUAGCGGUGAAAUGCGUAGAUAUCAGGAGGAACACCGGUGGCGAAGGCGCCCAUCUGGCCCGUUACUGACGCUGAGGCGCGAAAGCUGGGGGAGCGAACAGGAUUAGAUACCCUGGUAGUCCCAGCCGUAAACGGUGGGCACUAGGUGUUGGAGGCAUUGACCCCUCCAGUGCCGCAGCUAACGCAUUAAGUGCCCCGCCUGGGGAGUACGGCCGCAAGGCUGAAACUUAAAGGAAUUGACGG